GGAAUCUUCCACAAUGGGCGCAAGCCUGAUGGAGCAACGCCGCGUGAGUGAAGAAGGUCUUCGGCUCGUAAAGCUCUGUUGUUAAAGAAGAACACGUAUGAGAGUAACUGUUCAUACGUUGACGGUAUUUAACCAGAAAGUCACGGCUAACUACGUACCAG
Molecule: ribosomal RNA, 161 nt
Filed under: uncultured bacterium
Lineage: Bacteria
Description: partial 16S rRNA
Rfam family: Bacterial small subunit ribosomal RNA
Source: RNAcentral